Molecule: unclassified non-coding RNA, 168 nt
Filed under: uncultured Sebacinaceae
Lineage: Eukaryota; Fungi; Basidiomycota; Agaricomycetes; Sebacinales; Sebacinaceae
Description: sequence contains ITS1
Source: RNAcentral
AUGAUUUGAAUCGUCACUGUCUGUGCUGGCUUCGGCAUGUGCACGUCGGUUGACUUUCAUCCCAACACCCUUGUGAACCUUUGGCCUCGCGCUGGUUUCGACCGGCAUGGGGAUUUUACACAAACUCGAAUGUAAUGAAAUCAUGUUUUGUGCGCAAGCACUAAUGUA